CGGGAGGGUGCAAUGCGUUAUUCGGAAUUACUGGGCGUAAAGCGCACGCAGGCGGGCCGGUCAAGUCGGAUGUGAAAUCCCCCGGGCUCAACCUUGGGAACUGCAUUCGAAACUGGCAGGCUAGAGUCUUGUAGAGGGGGGUAGAAUUCCCAGGUGUAGCGGUGAAAUGCGUAGAGAUCUGGAGGAAUACCGGUGGCGAAGGCGGCCCCCUGGACAAAGACUGACGCUCAGGUGCGAAAGCGUGGGGAGCAAACAGGAUUAGAUACCCUGGUAGUCCACGCCGUAAACGAUGUCGAUUUGGAGGUUGUGCCCUUGAGGCGUGGCUUCCGGAGCUAACGCGUUAAAUCGACCGCCUGGGGAGUACGGCCGCAAGGUUAAAACUCAAAUGAAUUGACGGGGGCCCGCACAAGCGGUGGAGCAUGUGGUUUAAUUCGAUGCAACGCGAAGAACCUUACCUGGUCUUGACAUCCACAGAACUUUCCAGAGAUGGAUUGGUGCCUUCGGGAACUGUGAGACAGGUGCUGCAUGGCUGUCGUCAGCUCGUGUUGUGAAAUGUUGGGUUAAGUCCCGCAACGAGCGCAACCCUUAUCCUUUGUUGCCAGCGGUUCGGCCGGGAACUCAAAGGAGACUGCCAGUGAUAAACUGGAGGAAGGUGGGGAUGACGUCAAGUCAUCAUGGCCCUUACGACCAGGGCUACACACGUGCUACAAUGGCGCAUACAAAGAGAAGCGACCUCGCGAGAGCAAGCGGACCUCAUAAAGUGCGUCGUAGUCCGGAUUGGAGUCUGCAACUCGACUCCAUGAAGUCGGAAUCGCUAGUAAUCGUAGAUCAGAAUGCUACGGUGAAUACGUUCCCGGGCCUUGUACACACCGCCCGUCACACCAUGGGAGUGGGUUGCAAAAGAAGUAGGUAGCUUAACCUUCGGGAGGGCGCUUACCACUUUGGAUUCAGGGGG
This 955-nucleotide ribosomal RNA is filed under the name Enterobacter sp. enrichment culture clone SRB3. RNAcentral describes it as "bacterial SSU rRNA". It matches the Rfam family "Bacterial small subunit ribosomal RNA", at positions 525 to 1475 of the family's 1533-position model. The record is from RNAcentral. Lineage: Bacteria; Pseudomonadati; Pseudomonadota; Gammaproteobacteria; Enterobacterales; Enterobacteriaceae.